Molecule: ribosomal RNA, 467 nt
Filed under: uncultured bacterium
Lineage: Bacteria
Description: partial 16S ribosomal RNA
Rfam family: Bacterial small subunit ribosomal RNA
Source: RNAcentral
ACGAACGCUGGCGGCGUGCUUAACACCUGCAAGUCGCACGGAAAGGCCCUGCUUUUGUGGGGUGCUCGAGUGGCGAACGGGUGAGUAACACGUGAGUAACCUGCCCUUGACUUUGGGAUAACUUCAGGAAACUGGGGCUAAUACCGGAUAGGAGCUCCUGCUGCAUGGUGGGGGUUGGAAAGUUUCGGCGGUUGGGGAUGGACUCGCGGCUUAUCAGCUUGUUGGUGGGGUAGUGGCUUACCAAGGCUUUGACGGGUAGCCGGCCUGAGAGGGUGACCGGCCACAUUGGGACUGAGAUACGGCCCAGACUCCUACGGGAGGCAGCAGUGGGGAAUAUUGCACAAUGGGCGGAAGUCUGAUGCAGCAACGCCGCGUGCGGGAUGACGGCCUUCGGGUUGUAAACCGCUUUCGCCUGUGACGAAGCGUGAGUGACGGUAAUGGGUAAAGAAGCACCGGCUAACUACGUG